RNAcentral lists this ribosomal RNA (3007 nucleotides) under Salmonella enterica subsp. enterica. Its description in RNAcentral is "23S ribosomal RNA". It matches the Rfam family "Bacterial large subunit ribosomal RNA". RNAcentral also lists the same sequence under 2 other names. The record is from RNAcentral. Lineage: Bacteria; Pseudomonadati; Pseudomonadota; Gammaproteobacteria; Enterobacterales; Enterobacteriaceae.
GGUUAAGCGACUAAGCGUACACGGUGGAUGCCCUGGCAGUCAGAGGCGAUGAAGGGCGUGCUAAUCUGCGAUAAGCGCCGGUAAGGUGAUAUGAACCGUUAUAACCGGCGAUACCCGAAUGGGGAAACCCAGUGUGACUCGUCACACUAUCAUUAACUGAAUCCAUAGGUUAAUGAGGCGAACCGGGGGAACUGAAACAUCUAAGUACCCCGAGGAAAAGAAAUCAACCGAGAUUCCCCCAGUAGCGGCGAGCGAACGGGGAGGAGCCCAGAGCCUGAAUCAGCAUGUGUGUUAGUGGAAGCGUCUGGAAAGGCGCGCGAUACAGGGUGACAGCCCCGUACACAAAAGCGCAUGUGCUGUGAGCUCGAUGAGUAGGGCGGGACACGUGGUAUCCUGUCUGAAUAUGGGGGGACCAUCCUCCAAGGCUAAAUACUCCUGACUGACCGAUAGUGAACCAGUACCGUGAGGGAAAGGCGAAAAGAACCCCGGCGAGGGGAGUGAAAAAGAACCUGAAACCGUGUACGUACAAGCAGUGGGAGCCCCACCACUAAGCCAGUGGUGAACUCCACAUACGCAUCCUUUGCUGAGGAUACGGUUAACGGAGCGAAAGCGACGUUCAACCGCAAAAGAAGCAGAGGGGGCUUAGUGGUGGGGUGACUGCGUACCUUUUGUAUAAUGGGUCAGCGACUUAUAUUCUGUAGCAAGGUUAACCGAAUAGGGGAGCCGGAGGGAAACCGAGUCUUAAUUGGGCGUUAAGUUGCAGGGUAUAGACCCGAAACCCGGUGAUCUAGCCAUGGGCAGGUUGAAGGUUGGGUAACACUAACUGGAGGACCGAACCGACUAAUGUUGAAAAAUUAGCGGAUGACCUGUGGCUGGGGGUGAAAGGCCAAUCAAACCGGGAGAUAGCUGGUUCUCCCCGAAAGCUAUUUAGGUAGCGCCUCGUGAAUUCAUCUCCGGGGGUAGAGCACUGUUUCGGCUAGGGGGCCAUCCCGGCUUACCAACCCGAUGCAAACUGCGAAUACCGGAGAAUGUUAUCACGGGAGACACACGGCGGGUGCUAACGUCCGUCGUGAAGAGGGAAACAACCCAGACCGCCAGCUAAGGUCCCAAAGUCAUGGUUAAGUGGGAAACGAUGUGGGAAGGCCCAGACAGCCAGGAUGUUGGCUUAGAAGCAGCCAUCAUUUAAAGAAAGCGUAAUAGCUCACUGGUCGAGUCGGCCUGCGCGGAAGAUGUAACGGGGCUAAACCAUGCACCGAAGCUGCGGCAGCGACGCUGAUGCGUUGUUGGGUAGGGGAGCGUUCUGUAAGCCUGCGAAGGUGGCCUGUGAGGGUUGCUGGAGGUAUCAGAAGUGCGAAUGCUGACAUAAGUAACGAUAAAGCGGGUGAAAAGCCCGCUCGCCGGAAGACCAAGGGUUCCUGUCCAACGUUAAUCGGGGCAGGGUGAGUCGACCCCUAAGGCGAGGCCGAAAGGCGUAGUCGAUGGGAAACGGGUUAAUAUUCCCGUACUUGGUGUUACUGCGAAGGGGGGACGGAGAAGGCUAUGUUGGCCGGGCGACGGUUGUCCCGGUUUAAGCGUGUAGGUGUGUGUUCCAGGUAAAUCCGGUUCACUUUAACACUGAGGCGUGAUGACGAGGCACUACGGUGCUGAAGCAACAAAUGCCCUGCUUCCAGGAAAAGCCUCUAAGCAUCAGGUAACAUCAAAUCGUACCCCAAACCGACACAGGUGGUCAGGUAGAGAAUACCAAGGCGCUUGAGAGAACUCGGGUGAAGGAACUAGGCAAAAUGGUGCCGUAACUUCGGGAGAAGGCACGCUGACACGUAGGUGAAGUGAUUUACUCAUGGAGCUGAAGUCAGUCGAAGAUACCAGCUGGCUGCAACUGUUUAUUAAAAACACAGCACUGUGCAAACACGAAAGUGGACGUAUACGGUGUGACGCCUGCCCGGUGCCGGAAGGUUAAUUGAUGGGGUCAGCGCAAGCGAAGCUCCUGAUCGAAGCCCCGGUAAACGGCGGCCGUAACUAUAACGGUCCUAAGGUAGCGAAAUUCCUUGUCGGGUAAGUUCCGACCUGCACGAAUGGCGUAAUGAUGGCCAGGCUGUCUCCACCCGAGACUCAGUGAAAUUGAACUCGCUGUGAAGAUGCAGUGUACCCGCGGCAAGACGGAAAGACCCCGUGAACCUUUACUAUAGCUUGACACUGAACAUUGAGCCUUGAUGUGUAGGAUAGGUGGGAGGCUUUGAAGUGUGGACGCCAGUCUGCAUGGAGCCGACCUUGAAAUACCACCCUUUAAUGUUUGAUGUUCUAACGUGGACCCGUGAUCCGGGUUGCGGACAGUGUCUGGUGGGUAGUUUGACUGGGGCGGUCUCCUCCUAAAGAGUAACGGAGGAGCACGAAGGUUGGCUAAUCCUGGUCGGACAUCAGGAGGUUAGUGCAAUGGCAUAAGCCAGCUUGACUGCGAGCGUGACGGCGCGAGCAGGUGCGAAAGCAGGUCAUAGUGAUCCGGUGGUUCUGAAUGGAAGGGCCAUCGCUCAACGGAUAAAAGGUACUCCGGGGAUAACAGGCUGAUACCGCCCAAGAGUUCAUAUCGACGGCGGUGUUUGGCACCUCGAUGUCGGCUCAUCACAUCCUGGGGCUGAAGUAGGUCCCAAGGGUAUGGCUGUUCGCCAUUUAAAGUGGUACGCGAGCUGGGUUUAGAACGUCGUGAGACAGUUCGGUCCCUAUCUGCCGUGGGCGCUGGAGAACUGAGGGGGGCUGCUCCUAGUACGAGAGGACCGGAGUGGACGCAUCACUGGUGUUCGGGUUGUCAUGCCAAUGGCACUGCCCGGUAGCUAAAUGCGGAAGAGAUAAGUGCUGAAAGCAUCUAAGCACGAAACUUGCCCCGAGAUGAGUUCUCCCUGAGACUUAGAGUCUCCUGAAGGAACGUUGAAGACGACGACGUUGAUAGGCCGGGUGUGUAAGCGCAGCGAUGCGUUGAGCUAACCGGUACUAAUGAACCGUGAGGCUUAACCUU